CCAAUAGCGUAUAUUAAAGUUGUUGCAGUUAAAAAGCUCGUAGUUGAAUUUCGGGAUUGACACAUCGGUCGUGCCUUAAGGGGUAUGAACUGGUGUAGUCAAUUUCUCACCUUCUGGAGAACCGCGAUGCCCUUAAUUGGGUGUCACGGGGAACCAGGACCUUUACUUUGAAAAAAUUAGAGUGUUUAAAGCAGGCAUUUUGCUUGAAUACAUUAGCAUGGAAUAAUAAAAUAGGACGGCAUGAUUCUAUUUUGUUGGUUUCUAGGAUCAACGUAAUGAUUAAUAGGGAUAGUUGGGGGCAUUACUAUUCAAUUGUAAGAGGCGAAAUUCUUGUAUUUAUUGAAGAACAACUACUGCGAAAGCAUUUGCCAAGGAUGUUUUCAUUAAUCAAGAACGAAAGUUAGGGGAUCGAAGACGAUCAGAUACCGUCGUAGUCUUAACCAUAAACUAUGCCGACUAGGAAUCAGACGCUGUUAAUUUUUUAAUGACUCGUUUGGCACCUUACG
RNAcentral lists this ribosomal RNA (506 nucleotides) under uncultured Glomeromycotina. Its description in RNAcentral is "partial small subunit ribosomal RNA". It matches the Rfam family "Eukaryotic small subunit ribosomal RNA", at positions 591 to 1092 of the family's 1831-position model. The record is from RNAcentral. Lineage: Eukaryota; Fungi; Glomeromycota.